GACGACGCUGGCGGCGUGCCUAAUACAUGCAAGUCGAACGGUCUUUUCAUGGAAGCUUGCUCCACUGAGAAGAUAGUGGCGAACGGGUGAGUAACACGUGGGUAACCUGCCCAUAAGAGGGGGAUAACAUCCGGAAACGGGUGCUAAUACCGCAUAGUUUUCUUGAUCGCAUGAUUGAGAAAGGAAAGACGGCCUUUGUGCUGUCGCUUAUGGAUGGACCCGCGGCGUAUUAGUUAGUUGGUGAGGUAACGGCUCACCAAGACGAUGAUACGUAGCCGACCUGAGAGGGUGAUCGGCCACAUUGGGACUGAGACACGGCCCAAACUCCUACGGGAGGCAGCAGUAGGGAAUCUUCCGCAAUGGACGAAAGUCUGACGGAGCAACGCCGCGUGAGUGAAGAAAGGUUUUCGGAUCGUAAAACUCUGUUGUCAGAGAAGAACAAGUUGGAGAGUAACUGCUCCAGCCUUGACGGUAUCUGACCAGAAAGCCACGGCUAACUACGUGCCAGCAGCCGC
RNAcentral lists this ribosomal RNA (515 nucleotides) under uncultured bacterium. Its description in RNAcentral is "bacterial SSU rRNA". It matches the Rfam family "Bacterial small subunit ribosomal RNA", at positions 32 to 518 of the family's 1533-position model. The record is from RNAcentral.